This 505-nucleotide ribosomal RNA is filed under the name uncultured bacterium. RNAcentral describes it as "partial 16S ribosomal RNA". It matches the Rfam family "Bacterial small subunit ribosomal RNA", at positions 28 to 507 of the family's 1533-position model. The record is from RNAcentral.
GACGAACGCUGGCGGCGUGCCUAAUACAUGCAAGUCGAACGCACAGUUUAUACCGUAGCUUGCUCCACCAUAGACUGUGAGUUGCGAACGGGUGAGUAACGCGUAGGUAACCUGCCUGGUAGCGGGGGAUAACUAUUGGACACGAUAGCUAAUACCGCAUGCUAUUGAUUAUUGCAUGAUAAUUAAUGCAAAGUUGCAAUUGAACCACUACCAGAUGGACCUGCGUUGUAUUAGCUAGUAGGUGGGGUAACGGCGCACCUAGCCGAGGUAAGAUAGCCGACUUGAGAGGCGAAGAGGCCAAGCUGGGACGGGGACAUGGUCAAGAACACUGCGGGAGGGACACGGACGGAACUUUCGGCAAUGGAAGAAGGGCGGACCGAGCAACGCUGCGUGAGUGAAGAAGGUUGUCGGAUCGUAAAGCUCUGUUGUAAGAGAAGAACGGGAGGGUGAGUGGAAAGUGAACACUGUGACGGUACCGUACCAGAAAGGUACGGCUAACUACGUG